AGUGAACGCUGGCGGUAGGCCUAACACAUGCAAGUCGAACGGCAGCACAGUAAGAGCUUGCUCUUACGGGUGGCGAGUGGCGGACGGGUGAGGAAUACAUCGGAAUCUACUUUUUCGUGGGGGAUAACGUAGGGAAACUUACGCUAAUACCGCAUACGACCUACGGGUGAAAGCAGGGGAUCUUCGGACCUUGCGCGAUUGAAUGAGCCGAUGUCGGAUUAGCUAGUUGGCGGGGUGAAGGCCCACCAAGGCGACGAUCCGUAGCUGGUCUGAGAGGAUGAUCAGCCGCACUGGAACUGGAACACGGUCCAGACUCCUACGGGAGGCAGCAGUGGGGAAUAUUGGACAAUGGGCGCAAGCCUGAUCCAGCCAUACCGCGUGGGUGAAGAAGGCCUUCGGGUUGUAAAGCCCUUUUGUUGGGAAAGAAAAGCAGCAGGUUAAUACCCCGCUGUUCUGACGGUACCCAAAGAAUAAGCACCGGCUAACUUCGUG
Molecule: ribosomal RNA, 492 nt
Filed under: uncultured bacterium
Lineage: Bacteria
Description: partial 16S ribosomal RNA
Rfam family: Bacterial small subunit ribosomal RNA
Source: RNAcentral